This 601-nucleotide ribosomal RNA is filed under the name uncultured bacterium. RNAcentral's name for it is "bacterial SSU rRNA". The stretch from base 1 to 525 matches the Rfam family "Bacterial small subunit ribosomal RNA", at positions 338 to 873 of the family's 1533-position model. The record is from RNAcentral.
CCUACGGGAGGCAGCAGUGGGGAAUAUUGCACAAUGGGCGCAAGCCUGAUGCAGCGACGCCGCGUGAGGGAUGACGGCCUUCGGGUUGUAAACCUCUUUCAGUAGGGAAGAAGCGAGAGUGACGGUACCUGCAGAAGAAGCGCCGGCUAACUACGUGCCAGCAGCCGCGGUAAUACGUAGGGCGCAAGCGUUAUCCGGAUUUAUUGGGCGUAAAGAGCUCGUAGGCGGUUUGUCGCGUCUGCCGUGAAAGUCCGAGGCUCAACCUCGGAUCUGCGGUGGGUACGGGCAGACUAGAGUGAUGUAGGGGAGACUGGAAUUCCUGGUGUAGCGGUGAAAUGCGCAGAUAUCAGGAGGAACACCGAUGGCGAAGGCAGGUCUCUGGGCAUUUACUGACGCUGAGGAGCGAAAGCAUGGGGAGCGAACAGGAUUAGAUACCCUGGUAGUCCAUGCCGUAAACGUUGGGCACUAGGUGUGGGGGACAUUCCACGUUUUCCGCGCCGUAGCUAACGCAUUAAGUGCCCCGCCUGGGGNGGUACGGCCGCGAGACGAACUACAAGAAGUAGACGCGNGNGAGNGCCGACGGCGACGACGAGGGAGGAGG